UCUUCUAUAAAUAAAGGGGCUUCGAGACCCUCAAAGUAAGUUCUUAAUCCCUGCUCUUUCCUUCUCGUUGUUUUUCAUCUCCUGACUUGAGCGUCAGAAGGUCUUCACUGGAGAACAUCCCGGUGAGAAUUUUUUACAGGUAUUCGGACGGAGCUCUAGUGACAGCGUCACUUUGGCCAUCUUCACUUGGGCGUCGAACC
This 200-nucleotide long non-coding RNA is filed under the name Elaeis guineensis (African oil palm). RNAcentral describes it as "long non-coding RNA (EGUI_LNC023717)". The record is from RNAcentral. Lineage: Eukaryota; Viridiplantae; Streptophyta; Magnoliopsida; Arecales; Arecaceae.